RNAcentral lists this long non-coding RNA (979 nucleotides) under Pan troglodytes (chimpanzee). RNAcentral's name for it is "lncRNA (ENSPTRG00000053501.1)". The record is from RNAcentral. Lineage: Eukaryota; Metazoa; Chordata; Mammalia; Primates; Hominidae.
GUCCUCACAUGGUGGAAGGAGCUAGCUAGCUCUCUGGGGCCUUUUUUUUAUAAGAACAGUAAUCCCAUUCAUGAGGGCUUUGUCCUUAUAACUUAAUUACCUCCCAGAGGCUUCAGUUUCUAAUACCACCACCUUAGGGGUUAAGAUUUCAACAUAUAAGUUUGGCGGGGUGGAGAGAAAUAAACAUUCAGACCACAGCAGAAGGUUGCCCUAAAUUCUGGAGUCGGGGAGGGGGGAAGUAUCGCAAGAAAACAGGAACACUGAAAGACAUGGGCUCCUUCUCAGAUCUUAGAGAACAAAAGAAAGAACUAAAUGGAGAUGUGGGAAUCACAAGGCCAUAGUUUAGGGUCUCGCAGUGCCAUUGGCAACAAAGCCUGAGAGCCUAGGCGAUAGAGGCAGAACACCCAGAGGAGAAGCCCCUUCCCCUUGCACCGUGAGCCUGGUGUUUGCAGCUUGGUAGCAGUGGCAACAGAACAAUCAGUUCUCCUACAAUAAACCAGGGACGGAACAAACAACAGCAGCAGCGGUAGCAGGGAAACAGAAUCUGUGUUGGCGUGCAGUGAGCAGGCAGCGUCUGCAAAGUAGCGCUGGCAACCACAACAGAGAGGCCAGCAACAGGAGGAGCAGGAGGAGCCCUGGAACAAGUACAGUUGACUCUGAACAAGUCAGGUUUGAACUGCAUGGGUCCACUCAUAUGAAGAUUUCUUUCAACGAAAGCUACCCCGAGUGUGCCUGCCUUUCCUGCUUCCCCUUCCACCUCCUGCACCUCUACCAUCCCUGCCACCCCUAAGACAGCAAGGCCAGUCUCUUCUCUCUCUCCCCCUCCUCCUUCAGCCUAUUCAACUUGAAGAUGACAAGGAUGAAGAGCUUUAUGAUGAUCUACUUCCCCUUAAUGAACAGUAAAUAUAGUUUUUCUUCCUUACAAUUUUCUUAAUAGCAUUUUCUUUUCUCUAGCUUACUUUAUUGUAAGAAUACAGUG